RNAcentral lists this long non-coding RNA (345 nucleotides) under Bemisia tabaci. RNAcentral describes it as "lncRNA ENSSSA3NGG011476". The record is from RNAcentral. Lineage: Eukaryota; Metazoa; Arthropoda; Insecta; Hemiptera; Aleyrodidae.
AUGAAACACUGUGAUUCAGGAAUUUGUGGAACUAUCAAAUGGGCUCAAGAUUGGCUCACAUUUUUAGAUGCUAUGAUUGAAGUAAAUACACUCGCAAAUGUUGGAAAACUUGAUCAUGGAGCUGAACCAAUUUCAUUUCGAAGUAUUUGUCUAAUGCCAGAUAAACUAGAAAGGAAGACUAAUGGUGCGAGAAUCAAAUUUUCAAUCGAACCUAUAAUGCAUCAGUUUGGCUGUGAGGGCGUUACCAUGGAUGGAUUGAAAUUGAAGCAGAAGCAAAACCUACUCCUCAUAUUGAAAGUUUGGAAUUUGUGCCGUUUGGAAAAACUUCCUUUGAUACGCAACUAG